Molecule: long non-coding RNA, 7674 nt
Organism: Acinonyx jubatus (cheetah)
Lineage: Eukaryota; Metazoa; Chordata; Mammalia; Carnivora; Felidae
Exons: 3
Source: RefSeq, a predicted model, not a curated record
UAUUUAUUUAUUUAUUUUUUAAUUUUUUUUUUUAACGUUUAUUUAUUUUUGAGACAGAGAGAGACAGAGCAUGAACGGGGAAGGGGCAGAGAGAGAGGGAGACACAGAAUCGGAAGCAGGCUCCAGGCUCUGAGCCAUCAGCCCAGAGCCCGACGCGGGGCUCGAACUCACGGACUGCGAGAUCAUGACCUGAGCUGCAGUCGGACGCUUAACCGACUGAGCCACCCAGGCGCCCCUGCCCCUACAUUUUAAAUGGCAUUUUUGCUCUUCAUAUCCUUUUGCUUAGUUGUCUGUUAGUCCCUGCUGCUCCUGUCGGCUUUGACUAGCACUCUACUGCUAAUUUGCUACCUCCUGUUUGCUGAAAAAGCAGACAUUCCAAGUGUGCUGCUGAUUUAAGUCAACAGGAUGGGGGCAAAGUGCUUACUAUUCGGGGAAGUGGGUUUGCUAAAUCAUUUCACUAAGGUAGACUUUUUGGAAGAGGAGCUUACUUAAAGUCUCUAAACAUGUAAAGUCAAAUUAGGAUAGAGAGCUGCCAAGUACAUCAGUAAGAUAGAUUAUUUUCCAGAUCAAGUACAAUUUUAGGCCAGAAACAUGAUAGGAAUAGGAAAACAAUGAGCAUAUGGGCAUUUUUCCAUAUAUAUAAGGACUUUUAAACUACCUCUAGAAAAAGGGUUGAGAAUCAAAAGAGCCACCAGACAAUGCUAGUAUUUUAAAGACACGGAACUGUGAAAUACCAAAUGCUUAAGGAAUUAAAAGGCCAACACGUACCUUUAUAUAGUCAACGAGAUUUUGAUAUUCAAUGUAGUUGCCUCCUCCCACCACAAAAACAAUUGCCUAAAAUGCAAACAGAAAAAAGAAACAGGUAAGUUGAAAAAAUCAGUAUUUUAACUUUCAAGCAACAUGGCUUUUAGUUUGGAGCAUAUUCCACAACUUAGGUAAAAAAAUACAAGCUAGCAAAAGGUCACAUCCUAAGCACCUGAUGCUACUUCAAUUAAAAAAAAAUGUGUUUCCAAAAAGUAGAGAAAAAAACUGACCUCAUUCUUCAUACAAUUAAGUAAUAGCAAAUAAAUCUAAAGGGCUUUCUCUAGAAGGCUUUUUAGAAUUUGAGGUUAUUUACUGUAGGUAGGAAAAACAAAAUUAGCAUUUACAUAAUCUCCAAUAUAUGUUCUUCACUGUAUUUUUAUUGAGAAGCUUAUUGUAUUUCAAAUGAAAGCACAGUCACAGUAUCUUCACAAAUUUGGAAUCCAAUUUUAGAAGGAAGUUCUAUGCAUAUAAAACUUUUACCACAGUCUUAGACUCCUUUUUCUGUGAAUUGUUAAUUUUGUAUCAGCUUUUUUACUUUUUAUUUAAAUUCCAGUUAACAUACAGUGUAAUAUUAAGUUCAGGUGUACAAUACAGAGAUUCAACACUUCCAAACAUCACCCAGUGGUCAUCACAGCAAGUGCUCUCCUUAAUCCCCAUCACCUAUUUCACCAAUCCCCCCACCUUCCUCCUCUCUGGUAGUCAUCUGUUUGUUCUUUAUAGUUAGAGUCUGUUGCUUGGUUUGCCUCUCUCUGCCUCUUUUCCCUGUGUUCAUCUGUUUUGUUUGUUAAAUUCCACAUAUGAGUGAAAUCAGAUCAUAUUUGUCUUUUUCAGACUGAUUUAUUUCACCUCGCAUAAUAAUCUCUAGCUCCAUCCAUGUCAUUGCAAAUGGCAAGAUCUCAUUCUUUUUAAUGGCUAAUAUUUCAGUGUGUGUGUGUGUGUGUACACAUGUAUCUUUAUCUCAUCUUUUUUAUCCAUUCAUCAGUCAAUGGACACUUACAUGAAAGAUGUUCCACAUCACUCAUCAUCAGGGAAAUACAAAUCAAAACUACAAUGAGCUAUCACUUUACACCUGUCAGAGUGGCUAAAAUCAACAACACAAACAACAAGUAUUGGUGAGGAUGUGGAGAAAAGGGAACCCUCAUACAUGGUGGGAAUGCAAACUGGUACAGCCAGUCUGGAAAAGGUUCUUCAAAAAGUUAAAAAAAGAACUACCUUAUGAUCCCUGAGCAAUUACACCACUAAGAGUUUACCCACAGAAUACAAAAACACUAAUUCAGAGGGAUACAUGAACCCCAAUGUUUACAGCAGCAUUAUCUACAAUAGACAAACUAUGGGAAACAGCCCAAGUGUCCACUGACUGUGUCAGUUAUUACUAAGCUUAAACUCUUUUAAGUAGUUUUAUGCAUCAGAAAAAUAUAGUUACUAAUAAUUUUUUAAAAAGAAUCUUGGGUACACAGAAUUGGAUGUAUCCAGAUUACCGGAAAGUAACUGUAAUAAAGCCAUGUUUAAGAUGAAGAUAAUUGUUCAAACUGGUCAUCUUCCUUCCUUUUUAGAGGCAGAGAAUUUUUAUAUAGAACUUACCUCUUGGAAUGGAUUUUUGUUCCUUGGAACUGAGCUGUAACAAAGAAAAAUGAUACUGAAAAUUUCACCUGAGGCUUUCAUUACAGAUGAAAGACAUAUGGAAAUACAUGCAUGUACACACACACUAAAUAUAAAAAUGUAUUUACAAUCCUUCCUCCUUCGCUUUCUUUGAGGCUUGUCCUUAGUUUUGUGUAUCCAAAUAGUGAAUGAGGAAGAAUAUGCUGGAAGUCUAUGUGUCAGUAUCUAAAAGGGAGUAGGGCAAUCUGUUAGCUUUAAAAUAAAAUUCUAGGGGCACCUGGGAGCCUCAGUCGGUAAAGUGACUGACUCUUGGUUUUGGUUCAGGUCAUGAUCUCAUGGUUCGUCAGUUUGAGCCUCACAUCGGGAUUCCCACUGUCAGUGCACAGCCCACUUGGGAUUCUCUCUGUCCAUCUCAAAAUAAAUAAACUUAAAAAAAAAAUUCUAGGAGAAAACUGAGAGGGAGAAGGCAACACUGAGCAGCAGCUCUCAUAAGGAAUAAAAUCUGGGUAUGAGAUGGGCAACAUGGGGUACAGAGAAAUUAUAGAACUUUCCUAAGAUCAUACGACUACACAGUCAGCCAGAGGAAUUUGUUCUUUUCUGGAGUGUGGAUGGCCCUACCCCAACCUGAUCAGUGAUAAGCUCUGCAUGUAUUGCCACCACCUAUUCCUGUACUCAGUGGUGGACAGGGUUUAACCAAUUACAGAACUUCCAGUGAACUCAAAAGUUGCAUCAGAAUUCUUUAACACUUAGCUCCAGAAAGCCACUGCCAGCCAGAUUUACAAGAUAAAAACUAUGUGAUACUGUCUUAAUCCCUUCUUUCAAUUUAUCCAGUCAAAACAAUCAAAGGAGAACACUUAGUAAGUGAUUAGAAUGCAUCUACUAUAUGACUCUACUUAUAUGUGGAAUGUAAGAAACCAAACAGAUGAACACAGGGGAAGGGAAGGAAAAAUUAAAUAAUAUAAAACCAGAGAGGGAGGCAAACCAUAAGAGACUCUUAACUAUGGAGAACAAACUGAGGGUUGAUGGUGGGGGGGGGGGGGGAGGUGGGCGGGGGAUAGGCUGAAUGGGUGAUGGGCAUUAAGAAGGGCACUUGUGGGGGUUCCUGAGUGGCUCAGUUAAGUGUCUGACUUUGGCUCAGGUCAUGAUCUCAUGGUUCGAGAGUUCAGGCCCUGCCUCAGGCUCUGUGCUAACAGCUCAGAGCCUGGAGCCUGCUUCAGAUUCUGUGCCUCCCUCUCUCUGCCCCUCCCCUGCUCACACUGUCUCUGUCUCUCAAAAAGAAAUAAACAUUAAAAAAAAUUUUUUUUAAGUAAAAAAAAAGAAGGGCAUUUGUGAUGAGCACUGGAUGUUAUAUGUAAGUGAUGAAUCACUAAAUUCUACUCCUGAAACCAAUACUACACUGUAUUAACUAACUUGAAUUUAAAUAAAAACUUGAAGAAAAAAAAAGAAUUCAUCUAGAAUUAGGUUAUAGCAUUUUCAAGCCUUUGAGAUAAGAUACAUUCAAGAUUACUACUAGCUAAGUCUAACACAGUACACUUUGCUAAUCUCUUUGGUAUUUUGCUAAACUAUCUUCAAUGCUCCAAAUCAAGUUGUCUAUCUGGGAACAGGAAAGGAGAAGAGAAAGUACAGGCAGCUGUCUCAUCUAGCAGAUGGAUGAACAAAUGCAUUCAAAGCAGAAAAAAAUCUACUUUUUCUAAUUAAAAAAUGUGUCUGUAGUAAUGUGCCUUCAGUUAUACAGUGAAAGUCAAAAGAACUAAUAAAGGAACUUACACAACCUAGAGGAACAUUAGAAUAAGACCCCAAAUUUAGCCAUCCAUGAAUCUAUGACAGAAUAUUGUGGAAAGCAUGUGUAUAUGAGAAUGAGUAGCAGGUACAAAUACAGGAAUAGUGGGCUUUUGGUUCCAAUUCUGCUAUUAAAAAUGGUGUGACUUGGGAUAAGUCACUUAACAUCUCUAAAGGUUUCCUCUCCUUUAAUUGUUCAAAUUACUAAUUACUUCUAAUUGUUCAAAUUACUUCUAAUGUUUCCUUAAACUCUAAAGCUCUGUGAUUCCAUAAAAGGCAUGUUUCUUUGCCCUAAUCAAUAUAUCAUAGUGGUGAAAAAUGUGGCCUGCUUAGCUCUGCCAUUUAUUAACUUUGUGUCCUUGGGCAAGUUAAUUAAUUUUAUUGUGCCAGUUUCAUCUAUAAAAUGAAAAUAAUAGUAUUUUCUUAGAAGGUUCUAUUAAGAAUUCAAUGAAAUGUGAAAAAUGUUUUGAAUGGUUCCUGGCACAUAAAAAGGGUACAAUAUUAGCUAUUAUCUUUAUUACCAUCAUUAUCAUCUCAACUUCAAGAUUAGGGUCAUGCAACAAAGUGUCUUAAACUUAACUUCCUUAACCCCUUAUAGAUUUGGCAUCUGCCUAAAAUUCUGCAUUUAUUCGUAUUUUUAAUCUUUAGUGUUUGGGAUAAUAUCUCUCACAUAUUUAUAGCUUAUUAUGAAUUACUGUUCUCUAAGAUAACUAGUUUUAAGUAUAUACUUCUUUCAGGCUUUCAGGCUUUUCAAGAAUUGCUAUUUCUUCAUAUAUUCUAGGAUGUUUUAACAAAGUCUAUUGUUACUACAUUGUAUACCAUUUUCUCUGUAUCAACUCCUAGAUGGAAGAAUCCAAUCCCUUAUAUCUUAACAUUAUAGACGAUUAUUCUGUCAUUACUUUCAUAAUUGUAGUUACUCCUUUUGGGGAUGUUUUUAUUACACUCUUUGUUUCCACAUGGGCAGAUUUUUAAAUACGUUUUUGUUAAUUCCCUUUGAUAUUAUAACCAUGUUUUAACAAUUACAAAAAGUGACACAUUGAUCUGAAGACUGCUCAUUCUUAGCACGGGAUCCUAAGCCUUGCUGCCAAGUCUAUACAGAGAUCCAGAUCAAUCCAAACUAGGGUUUUGAUGCUGCCUUUCUUGAUUCUAGACUCUUGUGACAACCGCAUUCUAGCUGCCAUAGAAACAGGAUGGGCUGUUUUAUGAAACAGAUUGUGAUGAUUUUCACAUUCUUUUAGCUUGGAAACCCAGUAAAUGCUAAGAAUAUUUAUCGGUCUAUCUAUCCAACAAUUUAUCUCUCUCAAUUUACUUUUCAGCCCAAAAGAAUUUAGUGCUAUCUGAACACAUGCACUUAAAAAUUUCACUUCUCUCCUAAUUUAAUUUUAUAAAGUUAAAUUGCUCGGGUACUCUUUAUACUACAUCAAUUGAUGCUCACUAGUUGUCAUUUACAGAAACUUGCUCCUUAGGAUAUAUUUUCUCUACAUUUAAUUAUACAUGAAGAAUAUAAUCUACAUUUAAUUUGGAUGAGAGCUGGCCAGAAUAGUUACAGCAGCUGAGAAAACCAAUUCUCAUUACCUGUGAUAAUGACUAAAAACAGGCUCUUGGAGAACAUGGACUCUUUCUUUCCCUCAUGUAGUCUGCUGUGAUUAAGUGCACAAUGAACUCAGAUUUUAUUAUCUUUCAUAAACUGAGUUUGAUACAUUCACGAAUUUACAAGUACAAUAUUAUACGCUACUCACAGGAUUUGACUUCAUCUCCAUGAGAUUGUCUAAAAUACGAGUAACAGGUAGAUUCUGUAGAAAACAUAAAUAUUUUGUUAAAUAUUAGAAAAAUAAUCAAAAUUGUUCUAUUAACAAAACAACCAAACCAUUUCACAUUUAACUAUGCUCACUUUUUGAUUAAACACAUUCUAAAAUUAAGAAUUCAGUGAAUGGUGUCAUAGAUGUAAAUAUCCUUGGCACUACUGAAGUUUCCAGAAAAAAAAAUAUAUAUAAUUCUAAAUCAAAAGGUCCUUUUAAUGUGAAAGUGUAACCAGGUUUCAGUACAAACACGUUUGGGCUUUUCACUUUGUUGGAUGUUUGUUUUUUAAUACUAGUAAUUGCAAUCUUCUGAUAAAAUAAGAAUUCCAUUUUCCCCCCAUUUCUUUUCUGCAGAUAGUAAGAGUUUCUUUCAACAGAGUAACUUAGGAGCAUCUGGGUGGCUCAACUGGUUGAGCGGUUUACUUUGGCUCAGGUCAUGAUCUCAUGGUACAUGAGUUUGAGCCCCACAUCUAGCUCUCUGUUGUCAGCACAGAGCCCACUUUGGAUCCUCUGUCUCCCUCUCUCUCUGCCCCUUCCCCCACUCACGCUCUCUUUUUCUCAAAAUAAACAUUAAAAAAAAAAAAAAAGAAUAAGAAGAGUAACUUAAAGUUUGAAGAAACUCAGAGUCUCUCAUUUCUAAUGUAUAUUCUUUUAAGCCAGUGGGGCGCCUGGGUGGCCCAGUUGGAUGAGCAUCCAACUUCGGCUCAGGUCAUGAUCUUGUGGUUCACGAGUUCGAGCCCCACGUCAGAGUCUGUGCUGACAGCUCAGAGCCUGGAGCCUGCUUCCCAUUCUGUGUCUCCCUCUCUCUGCCCCUCCCUGAUUCAUACUCACUCUCUCUCAAAAAUAAACAUAAGAAAAAAAUUUAUAUUCUUCUAAGCCAAAAAAAUACUUGCGCUCUUCCAAAAAUGGGGAAAUGGAUACACACAAAUUUUAUUGACCAUUUUUGUUUUGCCUGGGAUAAACUCCAAAUUUCCAAUGACAUACUUCAUUGUCUUCUUACAGAGUAAAUUUCACGUUGAACAUGAAUGUUUAAUACUGACAUUGGCAGAAGAUUGCCUCUUGACAUGCUUACAUGCCUUGGGAUAAGAAAUAGUACUGUUCCAUUUCCAUCUGAUGAUUUUUAUCAUUAUUUUGAACAUAACAACACAUGGAAUACAGAAAAUUUACUAAGUGACUAUUAUGUCUGUUCAAACUGCAUUCCCACUGGGAUGAUAUUCCGUCCACUUUGAACCGAUUUCCUUUGUGAACUGUACAGGAUGUUCUGUAAAGAAUAUUUUGUAUCUUAGAGACUUCAUACAACAAAGGCAACAUUAAAUCUGAUUAUUUAAAUAAAUGUUGAUAACAAACACAUUACUAUUUUACAAAAGUUUUGCUUUCUUUAGGACAUAAAAUAUUUUGUUACUAAAAUGGAUUAUCACUAUGGAAAAUGCUGCUUUGCCCAGACAGAAAAUUUGCAUUUCUUUUUUCUUUCUCUAUAUUAGCAAGUAAAAACCUUUUAAGAUGAUUUUACCAAGUAAAAUUGAAGCUAUUUCAUUAUUCCCUAUUUGUGUUGGCCAGGAACUUUUUCAUAUAAACAAAACACCAAAGGUUCAAUCUAACUAAAUGUACUUCCUGAAUUCUAUAAUUUAGAAUUAAAAAAAAAAUAAGGCAGCUCAAAAUUUUACCUUUUAAGUUUUGUUUCAAAUACAGUUGA